RNAcentral lists this ribosomal RNA (439 nucleotides) under uncultured bacterium. Its description in RNAcentral is "partial 16S ribosomal RNA". It matches the Rfam family "Bacterial small subunit ribosomal RNA", at positions 339 to 795 of the family's 1533-position model. The record is from RNAcentral.
CUACGGGAGGCAGCAGUGAGGAAUAUUGCACAAUGGGGGGAACCCUGAUGCAGCAACGCAGCGUGGAGGAUGACGCAUUUCGGUGUGUAAACUCCUUUUAUAUGUCAAGAAAAUGACGGUAGCAUAUGAAUAAGCACCGGCUAACUCCGUGCCAGCAGUCGCGGUAAUACGGAGGGUGCAAGCGUUACUCGGAAUCACUGGGCGUAAAGGACGCGUAGGCGGGUUGGAAAGUCAGGUGUGAAAUCCUACAGCUUAACUGUAGAACUGCACUUGAAACUUCUAAUCUAGAGUAUGGGAGGGGGAGAUGGAAUUAGUGGUGUAGGGGUAAAAUCCGUAGAUAUCACUAGGAAUACCUAAAGCGAAGGCGAUCUCCUGGAACAUUACUGACGCUAAGGCGUGAAAGCGUGGGGAGCAAACAGGAUUAGAUACCCUGGUAGUC